GCCGCGGUAAGACAGAGGUGGCAAGCGUUGUUCGGAAUUACUGGGCGUAAAGAGUCUGUAGGUGGUUUGUCAAGUCUUUGGUGAAAGGCCGUAGCUUAACUAUGGGAAUGCCAAAGAGACUGGCAGGCUGGAGGCUGGGAGAGGGAAGCGGAAUUUCUGGUGUAGCGGUGAAAUGCGUAGAUAUCAGAAGGAAGGCCGGUGGCGAAGGCGGCUUCCUGGAACAGUCCUGACACUGAGAGACGAAAGCGUGGGGAGCAAACAGGAUUAGAUACCCUGGUAGUCCACGCCCUAAACGAUGGGUACUAAGUGUGGAGGGGUUAAACCCUCCGUGCCGCAGCAAACGCAGUAAGUACCCCGCUGGGGAUACGGCCGCAAGGUUAAAACUCAAAGGAAUUGACGGGGGCCGCACAAGCGGUGGUGCAUGUGGUUUAAUUCGACGCAACGCGAGGAACCUUACCUAGGCUUGACAUGUGGUGAGUAGCG
This 483-nucleotide ribosomal RNA is filed under the name uncultured bacterium. RNAcentral's name for it is "bacterial SSU rRNA". It matches the Rfam family "Bacterial small subunit ribosomal RNA", at positions 514 to 1000 of the family's 1533-position model. The record is from RNAcentral.